GAGAAUGAAGCAUGAUAUCAAGAUGAUCAGCAAUUAAAGGUUUAAUCAUGCUACCAUAUAAUUUCAGACUAUUGAUUUUGCUCAACUAACUCACAGGAGAAGGAUUUAGAUUACCAGUGCAUUUAGCAUUCUUCAAGCCAAAUACCUUUUAGCUUCUUUACACCCUUGGCUGAAGAAAAUCUCUCUUUUUUUUGUUUGCAAGGGAAUGUUUAUUGUAUCUUUCAUCGAGGUGUCCUUCAAGUUGAAAUUUCUUGCUCAUAAAUCCUGUAUCAUUAAUAAAAUCUUUUUCUUUUUUUUGAAGGAAAGUCAUUAGUUUCUUCAAGAUACAAAACAUUCAUACAAUAUAUUUCUUAGCUAGAUGACUCAACAUAAGAUAUGACAAUAAUUGAAUAUUAAGUCACUUUACUUAAGAGAUUGUCUAAAUAUAAGCAAGCAUAAGUCACUUGAACUAAAGAGAUAACUUCAUUAAGUAAAAUGGUUCAAGGACAAGCAUGUGAGGCAAUAGAAGGAUUCAUCAAGGUCAAAUCAAUUUUUUUUUAUUUUCAAAAUUAAUUUAGCUUAGAUUCUAUUUGCUUAAGAUAAUUAUCAAUAAGAUAUACAAGUUGAGUUUUAAUCAAAUUAUCUUAAACAAUUGUUU
Molecule: long non-coding RNA, 637 nt
Filed under: Phoenix dactylifera (date palm)
Lineage: Eukaryota; Viridiplantae; Streptophyta; Magnoliopsida; Arecales; Arecaceae
Description: long non-coding RNA (PDAC_LNC020140)
Source: RNAcentral